RNAcentral lists this long non-coding RNA (204 nucleotides) under Mytilus galloprovincialis (Mediterranean mussel). The record is from RNAcentral. Lineage: Eukaryota; Metazoa; Mollusca; Bivalvia; Mytilida; Mytilidae.
GUGGAAAACCAUUGUUUAUUGUCUGCAACUUGAUGGUAUAUCCUACAUAGAUUAAUACACAUGAAACCCAAGUAGAAUCAAAGAUGAAAGUAGGCAGAACGUAUACCCAUAGUAGAUCAUAUAAUAACUCGGUAUAAUGUAUAACCAUAUGAACGCAAAUAAUGGACUUGUCUCUUAGAGGCAUGAGUUUUUAUUAGUUGUUAG